RNAcentral lists this unclassified non-coding RNA (202 nucleotides) under soil metagenome. Its description in RNAcentral is "partial contains 5.8S ribosomal RNA, internal transcribed spacer 2, and large subunit ribosomal RNA". The record is from RNAcentral.
AACCUUAUGGACCUGCGGGCGUAUACCUGCGGAGGGAUCAUUAUCAAAACAGCGGCCUUCGGGCCUUGCUGCACCCUUGUCUUUUGCGCACCGUAUUGUUUCCUCGGCGGGCUUGCCUGCCGGUUGGACAUUAUCAAACCUUUUUGUAGUUGCAAUCAGCGUCGGAAAAACAAUAAUUAUUACAACUUUUAACAACGGAUCU